Non-coding RNA from Acanthosepion pharaonis, 96 nucleotides. The record is from the annotation of a GenBank genome assembly. NCBI's taxonomy places the organism in Eukaryota, Metazoa, Mollusca, Cephalopoda, Sepiida, Sepiidae.
UUGUAACACCAGUUCUCGUACGAUCACUGAAGUUAAGCAAUGUUGAGCCUGGUCAGUAUCUAGGGUGACUGAUUACGAAUACCAGGUGCUGUAAGC